RNAcentral lists this transfer RNA (75 nucleotides) under Acidobacteriota bacterium. Its description in RNAcentral is "tRNA-Thr". It matches the Rfam family "tRNA". From Rfam's summary of the family: Transfer RNA (tRNA) molecules are approximately 80 nucleotides in length. Their secondary structure includes four short double-helical elements and three loops (D, anti-codon, and T loops). Lineage: Bacteria; Pseudomonadati; Acidobacteriota. RNAcentral also lists the same sequence under 2 other names. The record is from RNAcentral.
GCCGAUGUAGCUCAGCGGUAGAGCGCGUCCUUGGUAAGGACGAGGUCACCGGUUCAAGCCCGGUCAUCGGCUCCA